Anguilla rostrata (American eel) is the source of this 790-nucleotide long non-coding RNA. RefSeq lists it as uncharacterized. The record is from RefSeq and is a predicted model, not a curated record. The transcript is spliced from 3 exons. Lineage: Eukaryota; Metazoa; Chordata; Actinopteri; Anguilliformes; Anguillidae.
AAGUAUGACGAAACCCCUAGAGAGAAGUACCGGUCCAAGUGCAGGGAACAACCGCAUAGUUCAACUUGGACCCUGAAGGUUAAACUGAUUAACACUAACAACGAGAACGGCAACAACGCAGUCUAUGGAAAAAAUACAAGCAGUAGUUAAGACAGUUUAUGCACCUAAGUCACCUACGAAACAGCUGCCUAGUUACAACCCUAAGCUUACAGUCAUUUACAGGGGGGUAGGGAGGGGUGGGGAGAGGUGCAGCCUGAAGAGGUGAGUCUUCAGUCGUCGUUUGAAAUGGGUCAGUGUCUCAGCUGUUCUGACCUCCACAGGGAAGUCAUUCCACCACCGUGGGGCCAGAACAGACAGGAGACGUGUUCUGGAAGUGCAGGUGCGAAGAGGGGGAGGUGCUAGGCGUCCUGAGGUAGCAGAACGGAGGGAUCUGGCUGGCAACGUUCUGUGUGUGACGUCUUUUGAGGACAGGAGUCCCUGGCACAUCCACGCCCACCUCCUGAAGAGUGUUUCUUAUCUGUUGGACAGAUGAUUGGGGGGUUUUCAUCAUUUUGCUUCAUAAUGGCUUCCUAAUUCAUUGGCACAAUUCUGGUCCUCUUGUUGACAAACGCCAAUAGCAGAUUCCAAAGGCAAUCAAAAGCCUAGGAUCAAGACUAGAUACUGAAAGCUCUCUUAUACCAGCACUAAGGAAGCAACUGAACACGCCUGACUAUUCAGGAACACCUGUGAAACCAUUUGUCUCAAACAUUAUGGCUUCUUGAAAUGGGGGAAUGAUGUAUAAAAUGUGAUG